AACGAACGCUGGCGGCGUGGAUUAGGCAUGCAAGUCGAACGAUCUCUCUCGCAAGAGGGGGAUAGUGGCAAACGGGUGAGUAACGCGUGGGUAAUUUUCCUUUGGGUUCGGAAUAACCUGCCGAAAGGCGGGCUAAUACCGGAUGAGACCACGUUCUCAAAGAGAACGCGGUUAAAGACGGGGAUCUUGAAAAUAGAUCUGUCGCCCUUAGAUAAGCCCGCGUCCUAUCAGCUUGUUGGUGAGGUAAAGGCUCACCAAGGCUAUGACGGGUAGCUGGUCUGAGAGGAUGGUCAGCCACACUGGGACUGAGACACUGCCCAGACUCCUACGGGAGGCUGCAGUCGAGAAUCUUUUGCAAUGCCCGCAAGGGUGACAAUGCGACGCCGCGUGAGCGAUGAAGGCCUUCGGGUUGUAAAGCUCUGUCAGCUCGGAUGAAAGCAAUCGGGUUAAUAACCCGCUUGUC
This 463-nucleotide ribosomal RNA is filed under the name uncultured Bacteroidota bacterium. RNAcentral's name for it is "bacterial SSU rRNA". It matches the Rfam family "Bacterial small subunit ribosomal RNA", at positions 29 to 473 of the family's 1533-position model. Lineage: Bacteria; Pseudomonadati; Bacteroidota. The record is from RNAcentral.